This 2895-nucleotide ribosomal RNA is filed under the name Sinorhizobium terangae. RNAcentral's name for it is "23S ribosomal RNA". It matches the Rfam family "Bacterial large subunit ribosomal RNA". The record is from RNAcentral. Lineage: Bacteria; Pseudomonadati; Pseudomonadota; Alphaproteobacteria; Hyphomicrobiales; Rhizobiaceae.
GAUCAAGUGUCAAAAGGGCAUUUGGUGGAUGCCUUGGCAUGCACAGGCGAUGAAGGACGUGAUACGCUGCGAUAAGCCGUGGGGAGCUGCGAAUGAGCUUUGAUCCAUGGAUCUCCGAAUGGGGCAACCCACCUUAAAUGCUUGGAAAAUCAUUUUGGUUGUCGUUUGGCUGAACGAAGCGAAGCUUCGCAAGGCCAGAGGCCGUCGCGCAUCGUUGCGCGCCCUAACGGAGCGUCAGCUCCGAAGGAGCGGUACGACGCGUGAGUGAGAACCAAAAUGGUUUCCAAGCAUUGUUGAAAGGUAUCUUAUUCUGAAUACAUAGGGAUAAGAAGCGAACGCAGGGAACUGAAACAUCUAAGUACCUGCAGGAAAGGACAUCAACCGAGACUCCGCAAGUAGUGGCGAGCGAACGCGGACCAGGCCAGUGGCAAUGAGGAAUGAAGUGGAACGAUUUGGAAAGGUCGGCCGUAGAGGGUGAUAGCCCCUUACACGUAGAACACUCAUUGUCCUUGAGUAAGGCGGGACACGAGAAAUCCUGUCUGAACAUGGGGAGACCACUCUCCAAGCCUAAGUACUCGUGCAUGACCGAUAGCGAACAAGUACCGUGAGGGAAAGGUGAAAAGCACCCCGACAAGGGGAGUGAAAUAGAACCUGAAACCGGAUGCCUACAAACAGUCGGAGCCCGCAAGGGUGACGGCGUACCUUUUGUAUAAUGGGUCAACGACUUAGUGUGACGAGCAAGCUUAAGCCGAUAGGUGAAGGCGCAGCGAAAGCGAGUCUGAACAGGGCGUUCAGUUCGUCGCAUUAGACCCGAAACCGAGUGAUCUAGCCAUGAGCAGGUUGAAGGUUGGGUAACACCAACUGGAGGACCGAACCCGCAUCUGUUGCAAUAGAUUGGGAUGACUUGUGGCUAGGGGUGAAAGGCCAAUCAAACUCGGAAAUAGCUGGUUCUCCGCGAAAUCUAUUUAGGUAGAGCGUCGACCGAAUAUUGGGGGUAGAGCACUGGAUGGGCUAUGGGGACUCACCGUCUUACUGAUCCUAACCAAACUCCGAAUACCGGGGAGUACUAGUCGGCAGACACACGGCGGGUGCUAACGUCCGUCGUGAAAAGGGCAACAACCCUGACCUCCAGCUAAGGUCCCCAAGUCAUGGCUAAGUGGGAAAGGAUGUGAGGAUCCCAAAACAACCAGGAUGUUGGCUUAGAAGCAGCCAUCAUUUAAAGAAAGCGUAACAGCUCACUGGUCUAAAUAAGGGUCUUUGCGCCGAAAAUGUAACGGGGCUAAAGCCAUGCACCGAAGCUGAGGAUGUGCCGCAAGGCACGUGGUAGCGGAGCGUUCCGUAAGCCUGUGAAGGGAUACCCGUGAGGGGUCCUGGAGGUAUCGGAAGUGCGAAUGUUGACAUGAGUAACGAUAAAGAGGGUGAGAGACCCUCUCGCCGAAAGACCAAGGGUUCCUGCUUAAAGUUAAUCUGAGCAGGGUUAGCCGGCCCCUAAGACGAGGCGGACACGCGUAGUCGAUGGGAACCACGUUAAUAUUCGUGGGCCUGGUGGUAGUGACGGAUCGCUUAACUUGUCUGGACUUAUUGGAUUGUCCAGGCCUGGACGCGGUCCCGGGAAAUAGCUCCACCGUAUAGACCGUACCCGAAACCGACACAGGUGGUCAGGUAGAGUAUACCAAGGCGCUUGAGAGAACUGCGUUGAAGGAACUCGGCAAAUUGCACGCGUAACUUCGGAAGAAGCGUGACCCUUUUGUACGCAAGUAUGAUGGGGUGGCACAGACCAGGGGUAGCGACUGUUUAUCAAAAACACAGGGCUCUGCGAAGUCGCAAGACGACGUAUAGGGUCUGACGCCUGCCCGGUGCUGGAAGGUUAAGAGGAGGGGUGCAAGCUCUGAAUCGAAGCCCCAGUAAACGGCGGCCGUAACUAUAACGGUCCUAAGGUAGCGAAAUUCCUUGUCGGGUAAGUUCCGACCUGCACGAAUGGCGUAACGACUUCCCCGCUGUCUCCAACGCAGACUCAGUGAAAUUGAAUUCCCCGUGAAGAUGCGGGGUUCCUGCGGUCAGACGGAAAGACCCCGUGCACCUUUACUAUAGCUUUACACUGGCAUUCGUGUCGGCAUGUGUAGGAUAGGUGGUAGGCUUUGAAGCAGGGACGCCAGUUCCUGUGGAGCCGUCCUUGAAAUACCACCCUUAUCGUCAUGGAUGUCUAACCGCGGUCCGUCAUCCGGAUCCGGGACAGUGUAUGGUGGGUAGUUUGACUGGGGCGGUCGCCUCCGAAAGAGUAACGGAGGCGCGCGAUGGUGGGCUCAGAGCGGUCGGAAAUCGCUCGUCGAGUGCAAUGGCAUAAGCCCGCCUGACUGCGAGACUGACAAGUCGAGCAGAGACGAAAGUCGGUCAUAGUGAUCCGGUGGUCCCGCGUGGAAGGGCCAUCGCUCAACGGAUAAAAGGUACGCCGGGGAUAACAGGCUGAUGACCCCCAAGAGUCCAUAUCGACGGGGUUGUUUGGCACCUCGAUGUCGGCUCAUCGCAUCCUGGGGCUGGAGCAGGUCCCAAGGGUUUGGCUGUUCGCCAAUUAAAGCGGUACGUGAGCUGGGUUCAGAACGUCGUGAGACAGUUCGGUCCCUAUCUGCCGUGGGUGUAGGAAUAUUGACAGGAUCUGUCCCUAGUACGAGAGGACCGGGAUGGACAUAUCUCUGGUGGACCUGUUGUCCUGCCAAGGGCAUAGCAGGGUAGCUAUAUAUGGAAGGGAUAACCGCUGAAGGCAUCUAAGCGGGAAACCCACCUGAAAACGAGUAUUCCCUUGAGAACCGUGGAAGACGACCACGUUGAUAGGCCGGGUGUGGAAGUGCGGCAACGCAUGAAGCUUACCGGUACUAAUCGUUCGAUCGGCUUGAUCGU